Long non-coding RNA from Apis mellifera (honey bee), 2487 nucleotides. RefSeq lists it as uncharacterized. The transcript is spliced from 2 exons. NCBI's taxonomy places the organism in Eukaryota, Metazoa, Arthropoda, Insecta, Hymenoptera, Apidae. The record is from RefSeq and is a predicted model, not a curated record.
UAAAUAAGAUCUAUACCUUCUUUAUUAGGCUUAAUAUUCAUCAAAAAUAAUUUUUGUCAAAAUAAUCUAUAAAAUUUGAAUGUUUGAAGUUAAUAAUGAUUCGAUUGAUCCUUUAUAUAUUCUUAAUCUCGUUUUUAAAAUUCAAAGUCAUAAAAUCUUAAUGAUUGCUUGUAACAUUUUUUCAAACAAAAGUCAAUAUAUAUUCUGAAUCUGAAUUACCGACAACGAUAAAACCAUUGUAAGUCAGCGCACUCUGUCAUAUUCGUAUGUAAGGUUACAUACUAAGCAGAUGUAACAAUGUUUUUAAUGUUGGCAACUAUGUUUGGCAACAGGCCAUAUGGACAAAUAACGUGAAUGUGAGCCAAUUAUGACACAAUAAUGUUUGAUUAUCGUAUCAAACAAUGCAAUGUCAAUAAACCAUAAUUUAUGCAUUGCACAACUGUUAUACAGCAUCACUUAAUUAUUCUACGCUAUAUUAUCACAUAUUGUCAUAAAUAACCUAUAUUCAAGGAACUCUGGAAAUUUGAAAGGUUUGAUUGCAAAUAUUUUCUAAAGAGGGCGCAUCGAUGAACAAGGGUGCAUCAUUUUUAAUACAAUAACAAAAGAAUACUUUCUUUUGUAAUUCUAUCAUUAUAUAAACGAUGUGUAUAUAACUUUUUAAAAUAUCUAUUAGAAAAUUUCAUAGAAAUAACAGAAUUACAUAUCAAUAAAAAGAUUUUUAAUGUUAUUAAAUGCAAAGAUGAAUAAAAUAUGGAGACAAAACUUUGAAUAAAAUUAAAUUCGUUAUAAAUUUAUUACAAAUUAUUAAACAAUAUUAAAAGAGAAAGGUAGAAAAUUUUCAAAAUAUAUGCUUCCAAUAUUAAUAAUUAUUCGAGUAUUGAACUAUUUAGUAACCCAUAAUAACUUGCAUUCCCUUUGCAUUUAAUCCCAUCAAUUACAUAACAGAGAUGUGACCGAAAGCGCUACUUAAGAAGCGCUUGUCAACCAUAGGGUCAAAGGUAUUUCUGCGAAGCCCUCGAGGUUGAAGCAUUUACACCUCACCACCGCAAUAUUGUGAUACAUAUCGUUUUGUAAUAACGAAAACGUAACAUGAAUUACAUAGCACAACAAUUAAACAGCUUUGCUUUACUACAAAAAAACUUUUCUUUCUUUCUUUCUUUCUUUUUUUUUCUUUUUUUUUACAAUUUCUUUUUGUACAUUGUGCCUUAAGAUAAAGACAACAAUAAUCAUAAAACGAUUGUGCAAUGUAUAUAAUAUAUAUAUAUGUAUAAUUCAUCGAAUCAUUCGAUAUUAUUUAACUAUCUACUUGCAUUUAUUUCGAAUAUAUUAUAUUACACGUUUAUACAAAUAUAAUAUAUAAUAUAUACAUUAUAUUUAUAUUUUUACAGCUUUGCUUUUUUUCCCCCCCUCUCUUUCCUUGGGAUUUUACAACUGAAAGUUCCUAUGAGAUCACAGGACAUCACACACACAUAUAUAUAUAUAUAUAUCUAUAUAUAAAUGGCGAUCACAAUAAAAAUUCGACGCCAUUUUAUUCGGAUAAGGUACAAAAAAUAUCGUCAGCAUACACGGUAUGCAGAAUGCGGUUUUACGAUAGAAUAUAAAACUCAUUGAUGAUCUAUUAUUAAAUAAUUAAAGAAUAGCCUACUUUACGAGAUUAUCGUCCGGGAUAAUCGAGUCUGAUUUAUUAAUAGAACUUCAGAUCGAUUGCCUCUGCGCUUAGUACAUCAGAAGUUCUGAAGUAUUAUGUUAAAAAAACUACAAAGAGCCAUACUUUUUUUCUUCUUCUUUCUAUUCACCUGUCGAUGUUUCUUUUCGUUCCUUUCCUUCUUUCUUUCUUUUAAAACAAACUUAUAUAUAUAAUCAUUUAAUCAAUAACAAAUAUUUUCAGGAUAUAAAAUUGGAAAAAAUAAUAAUCAAAAAAUUAUCGAUCGUUAAAAAAACGCGCGUACAUAUCGACAGGCAAAUGAAAUGAAUAUAUGCUAAAUGAAAGCAAAUAAUCGAAUAGGAAGGAAAAUGUAAGCAAUAAACUUCCAAUAUAUAACGAAGCGAAAAUUAUCGUUACUUUUCUUUUGAGCGAAGGCACUUUACUCGCACAACGUUCCGCAAUUUUUCGUUAUGUACACUCCCGUGAAUAAUCGCACGAUCGAUCUACGUUCUGCUAUAUACAUCGCUCAAUUAUCACUCCCUCAUACAUUUGUAACAUCACUUUUGUUUCUCUUGUAUCGCGAUAAAAUCGCUCGAAUGAAACUUGACCGAUGCAGUUACAUGGCGGAACGUAAUAACGAACGCUACAAUUUCCAGGUUAUCGUUAUCAGGAUUUAACGGAUUUUUUUUUUCUUCUUUUUUUUCUUGUUUAAUCUCUUGUUUAUAUUCUCUAUCGUUUAUUCAACUUUUGUUGUACACACAACACACACGUAAUUGAUUCGUUUUAGAAAAAGAAAAUUCAGAAAGUUAGAAAAAAUUACAUGCUUUAAAAAAAAAAAAAAA